This 230-nucleotide ribosomal RNA is filed under the name uncultured bacterium. RNAcentral's name for it is "partial 16S ribosomal RNA". It matches the Rfam family "Bacterial small subunit ribosomal RNA", at positions 28 to 258 of the family's 1533-position model. The record is from RNAcentral.
GACGAACGCUGGCGGCGUGCUUAACACAUGCAAGUCGAGCGGUAAGGCCCUUUCGGGGGUACGACGAGCGGCGAACGGGUGAGUAACACGUGGGUGACCUGCCUCUAGCUCUGGGAUAAGCCCGGGAAACUGGGUCUAAUACUGGAUAUGACUCCAUGACGCAUGUUGUGGGGUGGAAAGCCUUGUGCGGCUAGAGAUGGGCCCGCGGCCUAUCAGCUUGUUGGGGGGUG